RNAcentral lists this ribosomal RNA (492 nucleotides) under uncultured bacterium. RNAcentral's name for it is "partial 16S ribosomal RNA". It matches the Rfam family "Bacterial small subunit ribosomal RNA", at positions 29 to 507 of the family's 1533-position model. The record is from RNAcentral.
AGUGAACGCUGGCGGUAGGCCUAACACAUGCAAGUCGAACGGCAGCACAGUAAGAGCUUGCUCUUACGGGUGGCGAGUGGCGGACGGGUGAGGAAUACAUCGGAAUCUACUUUUUCGUGGGGGAUAACGUAGGGAAACUUACGCUAAUACCGCAUACGACCUACGGGUGAAAGCAGGGGAUCUUCGGACCUUGCGCGAUUGAAUGAGCCGAUGUCGGAUUAGCUAGUUGGCGGGGUAAAGGCCCACCAAGGCGACGAUCCGUAGCUGGUCUGAGAGGAUGAUCCGGCACAAUUGAAAUGAGACACGGUCCAGACUCCUACGGGAGGCAGCAGUGGGGAAUUUUGGACAAUGGGCGGAAGCCUGAACCAGCCAAUCCGCGUGGGUGAAGAAGGCCUUCGGGUUUGAAAACCCUUUUUUUGGGGAAGAAAAGGCGGAGGUUUAAACCCCCGCUUUUUGACGGUACCCAAAGAAAAAGCCACGGCUAACUUCGUG